UCUGGUUGAUCCUGCCAGUAGUCAUAUGCUUGUCUCAAAGAUUAAGCCAUGCAUGUCUAAGUAUAAAUAGUAUACAGUGAAACUGCGAAUGGCUCAUUAAAACAGUUAUAGUUUAUUUGAUAAUUGACAAUUACAUGGAUAACCGUGGUAAUUCUAGAGCUAAUACAUGCUUAAACGCCCGACUUUAUGGAAGGGUGGUAUUUAUUAGACUGAAGCCAAUAUUCCUUGUGUCUAUUGCGGUGAUUCAUAAUAACUGAUCGAAUCUCUUUUUGAGAUAAAUCAUUCAAGUUUCUGCCCUAUCAGCUUUCGAUGGUAGUGUAUUGGACUACCAUGGCAGUAACGGGUAACGAAGAAUUAGGGUUCGAUUUCGGAGAGGGAGCAUGAGAAACGGCUACCACAUCUAAGGAAGGCAGCAGGCGCGUAAAUUACCCAAUCCUGACUCAGGGAGGUAGUGACAAGAAAUAGCAAACCGGGAACCUCAUGGUUUCACGGUAUUGCAAUGAGAACAAUUUAAAACCCUUAGCGAGAAUCAAGUGGAGGACAAGUCUGGUGCCAGCACCCGCGGUAAUUCCAGCUCCACUAGCGUAUAUUAAAGUUGUUGCAGUUAGAAAGCUCGUAGUUGAACCUCUGUCUGGGGCUAGUUUUGGCUUUGGUCAGGCUAGUUCUAGGCAUCCGCCUACAAGACUUAGAGGGCAUUCAGUUGUUCACUAGGAGGAGUAGGCAUUUUACUUUGAAAAAAUUAGAGUGUUUAAGGCAGGCAAUCGCCCGCAUAUAUUAGCAUGGAAUAAUAGAAUAGGACACUUUUCCAUUUCGUUGGUUAUUGGAAUCGUGUAAUGAUUAAUAGGGACAGUUGUGGGCAUUUGUAUUUAAUUGUCAGAGGUGAAAUUCUUGGAUUUAUUAAAGACAAACUAACGCGAAAGCAUUUGCCAAGGAUGUUUUCAUUAAUCAAGAACGAAAGUUAGGGGAUCAAAGACGAUCAGAUACCGUCCUAGUCUUAACUAUAAACUAUUCCGACUCAAUGUUUGACUGGCUUAUAUAACCAGUUGAGCGUUGUAUGAGAAAUCAAAGUCUGUAGGUUCUGGGGGGAGUAUGGUUGCAAAGCUGAAACUUAAAGGAAUUGACGGAAGAGCACAACCAGGAGUGGAUUCUGCGGCUUAAUUUGACUCAACACGGGGAAACUUACCAGGUUAAAACAAUAGUGGGAUUGACAGUUUGAGAGCGCUUUCUUGAUUGGUUGGGUGGUGGUGCAUGGCCGUUCUUAGUUGGUGGAGUGAUUUGUCUGCUUAAUUGCGUUAACGAACGAGACCUUAACCUGCUUACUAGACUGGCGAUCAUCAAUCGUUAGCUCUUCUUAGAGGGAC
This 1361-nucleotide ribosomal RNA is filed under the name metagenome. RNAcentral describes it as "SSU rRNA". It matches the Rfam family "Eukaryotic small subunit ribosomal RNA", at positions 1 to 1420 of the family's 1831-position model. The record is from RNAcentral.